RNAcentral lists this ribosomal RNA (445 nucleotides) under uncultured soil bacterium. RNAcentral's name for it is "bacterial SSU rRNA". It matches the Rfam family "Bacterial small subunit ribosomal RNA", at positions 26 to 518 of the family's 1533-position model. The record is from RNAcentral.
AGAACGAACGCUGGCGGCAUGCCUAAUACAUGCAAGUCGAACGAACUCUUCGGAGUUAGUGGCGCACGGGUGCGUAACGCGUGGGAAUCUGCCCCUUGGUUCGGAAUAACAGUUGGAAACGACUGCUAAUACCGGAUGAUGACGAAAGUCCAAAGAUUUAUCGCCAAGGGAUGAGCCCGCGUAGGAUUAGCUAGUUGGUGAGGUAAAGGCUCACCAAGGCAACGAUCCUUAGCUGGUCUGAGAGGAUGAUCAGCCACACUGGGACUGAGACACGGCCCAGACUCCUACGGAGGCAGCAGUGGGAAUAUGGACAAUGGGCGAAAGCCUGAUCCAGCAAUGCCGCGUGAGUGAGUGAAGGUCCUUAAGGUUGUAAAGCUCGUUUUACCCGGGAUGAUAAUGACAGUACCGGAGAAUAAGCUCCGGCUAACUCCGUGUCAGCAGCCGC